AGUGAACGCUGGCGGUAGGCCUAACACAUGCAAGUCGAACGGCAGCACAGUAAGAGCUUGCUCUUACGGGUGGCGAGUGGCGGACGGGUGAGGUAUACAUCGGAAUCUACUUUUUCGUGGGGGAUAACGUAGGGAAACUUACGCUAAUACCGCAUACGACCUACGGGUGAAAGCAGGGGAUCUUCGGACCUUGCGCGAUUGAAUGAGCCGAUGUCGGUUUAGCUAGUUGGCGGGGUAAAGGCCCACCAAGGCGACGAUCCGUAGCUGGUCUGAGAGGAUGAUCAGCCACACUGGAACUGAGACACGGUCCAGACUCCUACGGGAGGCAGCAGUGGGGAAUAUUGGACAAUGGGCGCAAGCCUGAUCCAGCCAUACCGCGUGGGUGAAGAAGGCCUUCGGGUUGUAAAGCCCUUUUGUUGGGAAAGAAAAGCAGCAGGUUAAUACCCCGCUGUUCUGACGGUACCCAAAGAAUAAGCACCGGCUAACUUCGUG
Molecule: ribosomal RNA, 492 nt
Filed under: uncultured bacterium
Lineage: Bacteria
Description: partial 16S ribosomal RNA
Rfam family: Bacterial small subunit ribosomal RNA
Source: RNAcentral